Molecule: ribosomal RNA, 121 nt
Filed under: Candidatus Scalindua sp.
Lineage: Bacteria; Pseudomonadati; Planctomycetota; Candidatus Brocadiia; Candidatus Brocadiales; Candidatus Scalinduaceae
Description: partial 16S ribosomal RNA
Rfam family: Bacterial small subunit ribosomal RNA (bases 18-121)
Source: RNAcentral
AUGAGUACAUUAUUAAAUUUAUGAAGGGUUUGAUCUUGGCUCAGAACGAACGCUGGCGGCGUGGAUUAGGCAUGCAAGUCGAACGAGGAUAUAUCCUUCGGGAUAUAAAUCGAGUGGCGCA